CCGACAGGCUCCUAUCAGAGCUUCUCGCUGGCCACACGCCCCCCAGAGAGCAAGGGGCAAGGGAGCCUGGGCCACUGCUCACCAGGGCAGCCUCCCGGGCAGGAGCACAGUGAGGAGGCACAGCAAACAGACGUGCAGAGGCCCCUGGUCGACCCCAGCAGCCCCAGGUGCGUGGCCAGUAGGUGAGGAAGGCAGAAUUGCCACAUGGUGAAUGAAGACCUUCGGCUUCCUGAGUGGGGAUCAUCCAAGGAAACCCGACACACGCAUGCCUUCUAUUCCUCCAUUAUUUGCCUCUCCCCUUCCAGCGGCAACUGCUGUCCUAGGCCUUUCGCUGUGUCUGUUCUGUCCGCUGGAUGGAGUCCCUAAGGAUCCCUCUGUGCUGGCCACCUGCAAGGCUCAGACCCAUCCUGCCCAGCCCCCAGGUCCCGCCGCUCCCCGGCCUCGCCAGCACCUCGUGUCCUGGUCCCGUCACCCUGGCCGUCCAGCAGGUCCGUGCCGUCCGUCGGGCACUCGAGGCUCCUUCCCCCGGUCAUCUGCACAGCUGCUGUCUCUAGUGGCUCCGACACUCUUGAAAGCUGGCCCUCAUUCCAGGCAUAGCUGGCCUGCCAGCCUCGCUGCCCAAGGAGGCCCAGCAGAAGCCACUGUCAGCAGAAAGGCUUGCCUCGCUACAGCUGUGCGAAGCUCUCCCCAGCCCUGGACAGCUCCAGCCUUGGCAUCCCAGGGCUUGACCUGGGCGAGUCCUGAAUCUCUGGACCCCCAAGCCCCUCAGGCAGCGCCUCCCACAGGACUCGGCUGAGUGGUGCUGCAGGCCUGAUGGCCAGACUGGGCCUCCUCCCGGCCAGUCCGACAAGCCCGUGGACAGGAGGUAUUGUGACGUUGCGAGCCUCCACCUGGCAGCCCUGGAGAGCGGAGGAGGUGGUGAGGAGGGCCGGGCUGGAAAGGUGGGCCCGCCGGGAGCAGGGGCGCCGGGCUCAUACAUGGCCUGCCCCCCGGCUUCCCCAGGACGUGGGACUUGCAGGGUGAGGACCUGGGCCCAGUGGGCAGGCGUGUGUGACCGAGUGGGGCCCCGCUGUGGCUGGACCCUCUCUGCUCCCCACCUCCUGCCACAUCUGAGGAGCUGGGAGCAGGGGCUUGAGGGUGUCCCAAGUCCAGGAAAGGGGGUGGUAAAACCCCUGCACCCUGGGAGGACAGCUGGAGAAAGCGGGGGCCGAGAGGGCGGGGCAGGU
This 1226-nucleotide long non-coding RNA is filed under the name Capra hircus (goat). RNAcentral's name for it is "lncRNA (ENSCHIG00000005614.1)". Lineage: Eukaryota; Metazoa; Chordata; Mammalia; Artiodactyla; Bovidae. The record is from RNAcentral.